AUGGUUUCACACCACCGUUCCAGAGCAUUGCGCAGCCACACAAGUCUUCUCCAUCCCUCCUUCCGGCGUGCACCGCAAGAAGGGACAGCAGGCCUCCGGAACCCCGCCUCUCGUGAUCCUGUACGGGAGAGGGGCGAUCAUGUUUUUGGGGAGCACACUCACGUGACUACUGGCAGCGAUGACUUCUUCCCCAACCUCGGCAACCUCAUCCUCAACGACAUGGGCGACAACAUCGACGCCGGCGGUGCUGCUGCUGCACCGUAUGUGAUUCUAUCCUUCUUGUUCGAGAUCGUGGUAGAAUUCAUGUUUCUAGUAUGUGCCCUAGAUGUGAUCUAUUUGUCUACUAUGCUAGUUCGCAUGAUUAAUUUAAUCUCUGCUAGUGCUGUCAUGAUUUAUCUUCUGUUUAUUCGGAUUAAAUCUCAGUAA
Molecule: ribosomal RNA, 426 nt
Filed under: Triticum aestivum (bread wheat)
Lineage: Eukaryota; Viridiplantae; Streptophyta; Magnoliopsida; Poales; Poaceae
Description: partial small subunit ribosomal RNA
Source: RNAcentral